Molecule: unclassified non-coding RNA, 424 nt
Filed under: uncultured fungus
Lineage: Eukaryota; Fungi
Description: partial contains small subunit ribosomal RNA, internal transcribed spacer 1, and 5.8S ribosomal RNA
Rfam family: Eukaryotic small subunit ribosomal RNA (bases 1-73)
Source: RNAcentral
GCAAACUUGGUCAUUUAGAGGAAGUAAAAGUCGUAACAAGGUUUCCGUAGGUGAACCUGCGGAAGGAUCAUUAUAGAAUGAAAAUGAGCUUGUUGCUGGCUUCUUGAAGCAUGUGCACGGCUCACUACAUUUUUUUUUUUACCUCCUGUGCACCCUCGUGUAGACCUUGAAAAAGGGGAAUGCUCAAACUCGAAGAUCCUGGUCACAACAACAGGACUUUGGAUUCCCCAGGUGAUUUGCUGUGCUCAAACAAAUUGAUGCAGCGGCUGUCCGCCAACGGGAUUGCAUUUUUUCAAGGUUCUAUGUUUUCUAGUAACAACCCCCAGUGUAUGAUGAAUUCAGCGCCCAUUCAGUGGCUUAAAUAAUAAAAAAUACAACUUUCAACAACGGAUCUCUUGGCUCUCGCAUCGAUGAAGAACGCAGC